AUUGAACGCUGGCGGCAGGCCUAACACAUGCAAGUCGAGCGAGGGGCGGACGGGAGAAUAAUGUGUGAGACACUGCCUGAUGGAGGGGGAUAACUACGGGAAACGGUAGCUAAUAGCGCAUACCCACGGGUGUGCCCAGGUGGGAUUGGCUAGGAGGUGGGGUAACGGCUCACCUAGGCGAAGAUCCCUAGCUGGUCUGAGAGGAUGACCAGCCACACUGGAACUGAGACACGGUCCAGACUCCUACGUGAGGCAGCAGUGGGGAAUAUUGCACAAUGGGCGCAAGCCUGAUGCAGCCAUGCCGCGUGUAUGAAGAAGGCCUUCGGGUUGUAAAGUACUUUCAGCGGGGAGGCGUUACCCGCAGAAGAAGCACCGGCUAACUCCGUGCCAGCAGCCGCGGUAAUUC
This 406-nucleotide ribosomal RNA is filed under the name uncultured bacterium. RNAcentral describes it as "partial 16S ribosomal RNA". It matches the Rfam family "Bacterial small subunit ribosomal RNA", at positions 29 to 526 of the family's 1533-position model. The record is from RNAcentral.